This 247-nucleotide ribosomal RNA is filed under the name uncultured bacterium. RNAcentral's name for it is "partial 16S ribosomal RNA". It matches the Rfam family "Bacterial small subunit ribosomal RNA", at positions 1255 to 1500 of the family's 1533-position model. The record is from RNAcentral.
UAGUGAUAUGGAGCAAAACCCUAAAAAGACGGUCUCAGUUCGGAUUGAAGGCUGAAAUUCGCCUUCAUGAAGCUGGAAUUGCUAGUAAUGGCAGGUCAGCAUACUGCCGUGAAUACGUUCCCGGGCCUUGUACACACCGCCCGUCACACCAUGAGAGUCGAUAACACCCGAAGCCUGUAGUCUAACAGCAAUGAGGACGCAGUCGAAGGUGGGAUUGAUAAUUAGGGUGAAGUCGUAACAAGGUACC